GAUAUAGACCCUCUUAUAUAAUUUCCUGAAUUACUGAGCUGCCAGACUGAAACACCAGCGACACGAACAUUAAACUUAAAUUUUGGAAAAACCGUAAAAAAAAAAUAAAGGAACGUAAUUGAAAAAAGUCUAUCUGGGGAAUCUUAAAAACAACAGUGUUUUGGAAGAAUCUAAGAAAUCUGUUCCGUGAUUCUGGAACUUAUGGCCAAACCAAAAAUGGGUGCUUGGAAAAAGUCUGAUACUGAGAAGCAAGCUUUGGAGAGAUCUAGUUCCGGACAUCUGAGGAUUAAUCUUGAUGUAUAGACCAUGAAGCCAGGAAUGACAACUCUGCGCCAAAGCAAGUUGUGCUGCAGCGAUAAUAGUGAAUUUUCAUAGCCUGUACAAAGAUGUACCAGUGAACACUGAGACCAUGAAGAGAUUUGUAAAGGUAGCUUUAACUUGUAGAGGAAGCAAGAAAAAGGAUAUCAAUCAAAAGUUAGAGGGAUACUGUUAAGGGAAAACAUGCAUCCGUUAAUAGUGCUGCUCCAGCAGACUUCUGCACUAAAAUUCGUUUUUCAAAAGAGCAAACCGAUUUCUUUAUAUUUAAUUUUGAAAUUGGACAUGGGGCUAGACAUAAUGUCUGUGUCCCCAGUCAUAUGACUUGUGCUCUGAGACUUCAGUCACUCUUUACUGCAGCACUGCAAGUUGGAAUUAUCACCCCACCCCCCCACCCCCAUCAGCCCAUCAGAAGAACAAUGGGAAGGUAACCAGAUAAUGGCUCCCUGGGAACAGCACUCUGUAAUUAAAAUCCAUGUCCCACUGUGACUCCAGUUACAGAAACCAUAGCCUGCCUGAAAGCACAUAGCCUGCCUGAAAGCAUUUCCAUCUAGGUGCUGGCUCUAAAAGCACAGGACCAGGCAAAAUUACCCGAGAUUGCUGCCUACACACCAACAUUACAAAAAAAAAAAAUACACUUGUUGAGUUAGGAAUGACAUUUUACAUGGCAGAGUGAAUUAUUUGCAGCGUAAACUGUACUUUAGCAAUAAAAACUACACCAUAAACAUUAUGACAGAAUCCCUUUAAAUGAAGAGCCAGGUUGCAUAUUAAGAUAACCUGCAGGAAUAUAAUGUUUCUUUAAAAUUAAACCAACUAAGUCAGUAAUUUCAUUUGGCGACAAACAAUUACCCUUUCCUUUAUGGAUUAGAAGCCCAAAUGUAUGUUCCAUUUUAACUGGGAGCAUAGCCAGCCAAUUGGGGAAAUUAAUGGUACUCCUUGGUGUGUAACAAGUCAUAAAUCAAUCAAGAAAUGUAAAAAUUUGUGAUCAUUGUGUACAAAUAGUAACAAUAAAUCCCCUUUCUGUAUGUGUACCAAA
This is a long non-coding RNA of Xenopus laevis (African clawed frog), 1351 nucleotides long. RefSeq lists it as uncharacterized. The transcript is spliced from 2 exons. The record is from RefSeq and is a predicted model, not a curated record. Lineage: Eukaryota; Metazoa; Chordata; Amphibia; Anura; Pipidae.